CGGACGGGUGAGUAAUGUCUGGGAAACUGUCCGAUGGAGGGGGAUAACUACUGGAAACGGUAGCUAAUACCGCAUAACGUCGCAAGACCAAAGAGGGGGACCUUCGGGCCUCUUGCCAUCGGAUGUGCCCAGAUGGGAUUAGCUAGUAGGUGGGGUAACGGCUCACCUAGGCGACGAUCCCUAGCUGGUCUGAGAGGAUGACCAGCCACACUGGAACUGAGACACGGUCCAG
This 232-nucleotide ribosomal RNA is filed under the name uncultured bacterium. RNAcentral's name for it is "partial 16S ribosomal RNA". It matches the Rfam family "Bacterial small subunit ribosomal RNA", at positions 99 to 334 of the family's 1533-position model. The record is from RNAcentral.